UAUAAAUUUAAGAAAAAAUUUCAAAAAACCCCCCGUGGUUUCACACUUUCUUAUUUUAGUAUUCUGUGGCUUAAAGUGUAUCAAUUUGCCCCCCUGUAAUUUUAUUUUUCUCUUUUUAGUAUCAAUUUUAUUUUUAUUUUUUUUUAAAUCAGUGACAAAGUUAAAAUUAAAGGAUAUUAAAGUAAAUACUCGAUAAAUCUAGGUGGGUAUCUAAAGUUUUUUGUAUAUAGUUUAACAAAAUAUUAAGAAUAAAGCUGCCGAAAAGAUAAAAACAAAACCACAAGGGGGCAAAAAAAUGAGAAAGUGCGCAAUCACAAGGGGGGGGGGGGAUUUUUAAAGUUUUU
RNAcentral lists this long non-coding RNA (344 nucleotides) under Ananas comosus (pineapple). Its description in RNAcentral is "long non-coding RNA (ACOM_LNC004174)". The record is from RNAcentral. Lineage: Eukaryota; Viridiplantae; Streptophyta; Magnoliopsida; Poales; Bromeliaceae.